AUUGAACGCUGGCGGCAUGCUUAAACACAUGCAAGUCGAACGGUAGCAGGCCCAGCACCUUGUGUAUUGGGAGGUUGAGCGACCUUGAGGGGGUGGUUCGGGAGUGUGCAAGGUGCUGGGUGCUGACGAGUGGCGGACGGGUGAGUAACGCGUAGGAAUCUGCCCGGUCGUGGGGGACAACUCGGGGAAACUCGAGCUAAUACCGCAUACGCCCCGAAGGGGGAAAGCGGGGGAUCUUCGGACCNCGCGCGAUCGGAUGAGCCUGCGUUGGAUUAGCUGGGUUGGGUGGGGGUAAAGGCCUACCAAGGCGACGAUCCAUAGCUGGUCUGAGAGGACGACCAG
RNAcentral lists this ribosomal RNA (342 nucleotides) under uncultured bacterium. RNAcentral describes it as "partial 16S ribosomal RNA". It matches the Rfam family "Bacterial small subunit ribosomal RNA", at positions 28 to 307 of the family's 1533-position model. The record is from RNAcentral.